RNAcentral lists this long non-coding RNA (1767 nucleotides) under Anolis carolinensis (green anole). RNAcentral describes it as "lncRNA (ENSACAG00000039618.1)". Lineage: Eukaryota; Metazoa; Chordata; Lepidosauria; Squamata; Anolidae. The record is from RNAcentral.
CAUGAAUGAUGAUGAUGAUGAUGAUGAUUAUUAUUAUUAUUAUUAUUCCCCUUGACAUAAAAGCAUUAGUAUAUAAUUUAAAAUAUACAAAUACGCAACCCUCAAAACAGAAUUAAAUGCACAAAAAAAUUCACAGUUAAAAUCCAUGAAAACAAAUUGCACGGUACUUAUUUUGAAAGUUGUUGUUAUACUCCAGAAACUUGGUUUUUGUGGCUGCCACAGACUAUGUCGAAUUGGAUGAGACUUUGUGAGGUAGUCGUUGAAAAUCUAUAGCAAAACGUGCUGCAGGACGUUCCGCAAAAACAAAGAUUGGCAAUUUAAUAAACCUUUUCCAUGUUUUUAUGGUAGAACCAAUUAGGAAAUGACAUUUAUAAUCUUGGAACAAAAAUCAUGUUACAUAAUAAAUAAACAUGUAUACAAAUGUGUGUCCCUGCCAUGACUGGUUCCCAUGCCUUCCCUGCAGCUGGCUUGUUUCCAUGCGGAGCAGGCCAUGGCCCAAGCCCGGCUGAGCUACACAACCUCGCGAGGGCUGGCCGAGCAGCUCCUGGGCUUCCUGAGUCCCCCCGACUACCAGGGGCUCUUCCAGAUCUUGUCACAGCCUCCCAUGACGUACUCCGAGUUUUGCGACACCAUCCGACGUACAGAAAACACCCUCCUGCACCCCAUCUUCAGGAGCAAGCCAGGACUUCCAGCCCAGAGGGAUCCCAGCCCUGACUCUGAAUGCUGCAGUUCGUGAGUGAUUUAGUGAAGAGAGCUAAGAAAAUGGGAAGGGCUUAUAGAACAAAUCUGUGUCAGGUUGAGUAUCCCUUAUCCGAAAUGCUUGGGACCAGAAGUGUUAUGGAUUUCACAAUUUGGAAUACUUGUAUUUGCAUAUAGGUACAUUAUCUGAUUUCUUGGAGGUGAGUAAAGGUAAAGGUUUCCCCUGACGUUAAGUCCAUUUGUGACCGACUCUGGGGGUUGGUGCUCAUCUCCAUUUCUAAGCCAAAGAGACGGCAUUGUCCAUAGACACCUCCAAGGUCAUGUGGCCGGCAUGCUUGCAUGGAGCACCGUUACCUUCCCACCGGAGCGGUACCUAUUGAUCUGCUUGCAUUCAAAGCACCCCUAAGCAGAGGCUGGAUGGCCAUCUGUCGGGGGUGCUUUGAAUGCGAUUUCUUGCUUCUUGGCAGGGGGUUGGACUGGAUGGCCCAUGAGGUCUCUUCCAACUUUACUAUUCUAUGAUUCUAUGAUUCUACUCACAUUUGCAUGUUUUCGAACUGCUAGGUUGGCAGGAGCUGGGGCUAACAGCGGGCACUCACUCCACUCCCGGGAUUUGAACCUGGGACCUUUUGGUCCGCAACUUCAGCAGCUCAGCGCUUUAACACACUGUGCCACCAAGUCUAAACACAAAGUUAAUUUGUUUCAUAUACACCUUCUAUCCUGAAGAUAAUUUUAUACAAUUUUAAUAAUAUAGCGUGCAAAACAAAGUGUGUGUGUGCAUUGAACUAUCGGAAGUCAUUGUCUCAGCAACCCAUGUACAUUUUGGAGUAUUCUGUAGUAUAGAGAUGCUCAGCCAAUACUACAACUCCAUUUCUUAUCCUGUAUGCUUUUUCCCCUUUCCAGGUCAGACAAUCCAGAACUGAGCUAUCCGAAAAGGAUUCAUGAUCUCCAGGUCUUUAUAUCUCCUUGCACAGUAAGUAUUUUGACUAGUGAAUGGAUCAGGCAAGUGCAAACUUGGGCCGUGCAGGUGUUUUGGACUUCAACUCCCACCAUUCCUAACAGCCUCAGGGC